RNAcentral lists this long non-coding RNA (221 nucleotides) under Bos taurus (domestic cattle). Its description in RNAcentral is "long non-coding RNA NONBTAT012591". Lineage: Eukaryota; Metazoa; Chordata; Mammalia; Artiodactyla; Bovidae. The record is from RNAcentral.
UUUCAGUGAGUUACAAUAAACUGUUUUUGCAUGCUUGAAAAAUUGUGAAGAAAAUGUAAGGAAUACUUAUGGGAGGAUCUCAAUAAUUGGGUGUUUCCAUUUUACUUUAAAAACAACUGCUAAUGUUCAACUCCGACAACACAGUGUGUGUGUAUAUACAUAUAUAUAAAGUUCAUUUCCAUGCUCAUUACAUAAAAAUAACUAUGAGAAAUAUCAAUCUA